GGAUGUGAGGAUGAUCUGGCUGUGACAUCUGUCACCCCAUUGAUCACCAGGGUUGAUUUGGCUGACCUGGCUAGCUAGGCGGGUGUCCCCUUCCUCCCUCACCGCUCCAUGUGCUUCCCUCCCGAAGCUGUGCGCUCAGUCGAAGAGGAUGAACUUCCCUGAUAGAGGAGGACUGUUCUUCAGUCAAGGGUAUAUGAGUAGCUGCGCUCCCCUGCUAGAACCUCCAAACAAGCUCUCAAGGUCCAUUUGUAGGAGAACGUAGGGUAGUCAAGCUUCCAAGACUCCAGACACAUCCAAAUGAGGCGCUGCACGUGGCAGUCUGCCUAAG
RNAcentral lists this small nuclear RNA (328 nucleotides) under Panthera pardus (leopard). RNAcentral's name for it is "7SK RNA (ENSPPRG00000018335.1)". It matches the Rfam family "7SK RNA". Rfam says of the family: 7SK was discovered as an abundant small nuclear RNA in the mid-70s but a possible function has only recently been suggested. Two independent studies have found that 7SK RNA binds the CDK9/cyclin T complex (known as elongation factor P-TEFb). Lineage: Eukaryota; Metazoa; Chordata; Mammalia; Carnivora; Felidae. The record is from RNAcentral.